This 106-nucleotide ribosomal RNA is filed under the name Entrophospora etunicata. Its description in RNAcentral is "Claroideoglomus etunicatum partial 5.8S ribosomal RNA". It matches the Rfam family "5.8S ribosomal RNA", at positions 50 to 154 of the family's 154-position model. Rfam says of the family: 5.8S ribosomal RNA (5.8S rRNA) is a component of the large subunit of the eukaryotic ribosome. It is transcribed by RNA polymerase I as part of the 45S precursor that also contains 18S and 28S rRNA. Functionally, it is thought that 5.8S rRNA may be involved in ribosome translocation. Lineage: Eukaryota; Fungi; Glomeromycota; Glomeromycetes; Entrophosporales; Entrophosporaceae. The record is from RNAcentral. RNAcentral also lists the same sequence under 2 other names.
GAAUUGCGAUAAGUAAUGUGAAUUGCAGAAUUACGUGAAUCAUCGAAUCUUUGAACGCAUAUUGCACUCUCUGGUAAUCCGGGGAGUAUGCCUGUUUGAGGGUCAG